Molecule: ribosomal RNA, 492 nt
Filed under: uncultured bacterium
Lineage: Bacteria
Description: partial 16S ribosomal RNA
Rfam family: Bacterial small subunit ribosomal RNA
Source: RNAcentral
AUUGAACGCUGGCGGCAUGCCUAACACAUGCAAGUCGAACGCUGAAACCCUGGUGCUUGCACCGGGGUGGAUGAGUGGCGAACGGGUGAGUAACACGUGAGUAACCUGCCCCCGACUUCGGGAUAAGCCCGGGAAACUGGGUCUAAUACCGGAUAUGAGCGCCCCUCGCAAGAGGGAUGCUGGAAAGUCUUUUCGGUUGGGGAUGGGCUCGCGGCCUAUCAGUUUGUUGGUGAGGUAAUGGCUCACCAAGACGACGACGGGUAGCCGGCCUGGGGGGGCGACCGGCCACACGGGGACUGAGACACGGCCCAGAGUCCUACGGGGGGCAGCGGUGGGGAAUAUUGCACACGGGGGGAACCCCUGAGGCAGGGACGCAGCGGGGGGGAUGCCGGCCUUGGGGUUGUAACCCGCUUAAAGGAGGGAAGAAGCCCCUUGGGGUGACGGUACCGGCAGAAGAAGUACCGGCUAACUACGGGCCGGCCGCCGCCGUAA